GACGAACGCUGGCGGUGUGCCUAACACAUGCAAGUCGAACGGUAAGGCCCUUUCGGGGGUACACGAGUGGCGAACGGGUGAGUAACACGUGAGUAACCUGCCCUCAUCUCUGGGAUAACAGUCGGAAACGGUUGCUAAUACUGGAUAUGAGCUUGCAAGGCAUCUUGUGGGUUGGAAAGAUUUUUUUGGUUGGGGAUGGACUCGCGGCCUAUCAGCUUGUUGGUGAGGUAGUGGCUCACCAAGGCUUCGACGGGUAGCCGGCCUGAGAGGGCGACCGGCCACAUUGGGACUGAGAUACGGCCCAAACUCCUACGGGAGGCAGCAGGGGGGAAUAUUGCACAAUGGACGGAAGUCUGAUGCAGCAACGCCGCGGGCGGGAGGACGGCCUUCGGGUUGGAAACCGCUUUCAAUUGUGACGAAGCUUUUUGUGACGGUAGCAGUAGAAGAAGCACCGGCUAACUACGUG
This 466-nucleotide ribosomal RNA is filed under the name uncultured bacterium. RNAcentral describes it as "partial 16S ribosomal RNA". It matches the Rfam family "Bacterial small subunit ribosomal RNA", at positions 28 to 507 of the family's 1533-position model. The record is from RNAcentral.